UCACAGUAUUGCAUCACAAUUCUGUCAUUUCACAAGAUAGGCUGCUUUAUGCAAAGGAGAAAACGGAAGGUUUUCAGUGUAACUGUCAUCAGAGGAAGGGUUGAGCUUUGUGACAGAGCUACGGCCUUCCCCCUGCUGUUCUCUGGCAGUGUUGCAUAACCAGGCUGGACAUGCUGUUUGAAGGAUGGGUAUGGUGGCUUUUGCAAUGUGAUAUUGCAGCUAAACUGCUUGUCAUGAAUUUAGCUGCUGAAACUAGGACCAUGUGGACUGUAGAAGAAAUACGGCUCUGGUCUUCACAAUCAAGGAGGAACAGGAGAGAUGAACAGGAGCAUGAGGCCAGCAACAGGGAAUGGGGGGGCCAUGUGUUUUCUACGGCGGCAGAAGACAGGAGUUGAGCAUGGGAGGCUGAAACAGCGGGUGACACUGGAGACAGAUGGACCCUUAGGGGGGCAGGAGAAAUGCUACAGAGCUACAGUCACAUGUCUGUUCAGUUUAGGAAUUAAAACACCCUUGUCUAU
Anguilla anguilla (European eel) is the source of this 518-nucleotide long non-coding RNA. RefSeq lists it as uncharacterized. NCBI's taxonomy places the organism in Eukaryota, Metazoa, Chordata, Actinopteri, Anguilliformes, Anguillidae. The transcript has 2 exons. The record is from RefSeq and is a predicted model, not a curated record.